UGGGAGGGCGCGGGAUGAUAGCGCCUAGCACCUGUCUCCGGGCCUUCCCGAUGAGCCGCGCUUAGGGUCCGUGGGCUUCAGCUGCAUGAACCACGUUCCAGCAGUUCGGCCCUCCUGGCCCCAACGCGCCUUUGAAAUACGCGGACAGUGCGCUUUCCUUCUUGGCCCGAGCGGCGCUUCGCAAUGCGGGCUUGUGCACUCGUGAGGCCCGCGGACACCUCCCGCCCCUGCGCGGCGGAGCGCUCCGCCGGCUACCUGCUCCUCAGAAGUGGCCUGGAGGCUGGAUUUCCUUGGCCAUAUCUGGUCCCUGGGCUCUCGCCGACAAAGAAGCAUUGUCCGUACUGUCUGUGUGCCCAGAAAUGGGAAGCGGGUGUAAGGGGAGGCCAAACUUGACUUUCUUAGUGUCGCGAGGUACGUGUUCCAAUGGCCACUUCACCUCCUUGGAUCUCCAUGUAUUUCAUAUUUGGCUAAAACUAAGAAGGUAAUUUUGAAAGAGCCAUUGGUCUGAAUAUGGAAUCUAAGGCAAGUGACUUCUGUAAACCUCUCUCUUCUUGAAUGUGGUUAAAAACUCGAAACAGGCCGGGCGCGGUGGCUCACGCCAGUAAUCCCAGCACUUUGGGAGGCCGAAGCGGGCUGAUUGCUUGAGCCCAGCAGUUCGAGACCAGCCUGGCCAACAUGGCAAAACACCGUCUCUACAAAAGAAAAAUACAAAAAUUAGCCGAGCGUGGUGGUGGACGCCUGUUCAGCUACUCAGGAGGCCGAGGUAUGAGAAUCGCUUGAGCCUCGGAGGUCGAGGUUGCAGUGAGUGGAGAUUGCGCCAUUGCACUCCAGCCUGGGCGACAGAGCUAGACGCAGUCUCAAAAACCAAAAGCAAGCAAACCUGUGGGAACAAGUCCUAACUGAUGGGGAUGUGUCUGAAUUAGAUGAAGCAUAUAAAUUGCCUAGCAAACUGCCUGAUGUGGUACCUUAAGAAAGGCCUCAAUAAAUGUUAAUCUCUUCCCCUUGAUGAUUUAAGUUACACGGUUUAGAUUCAUAUUCAAUAUUGGUUUUUCUCUAGAUUUCUUCUAUUUUUACAUACAAAUAUGUGUUUCAUUUGUGACUUAGUGUUUCAUUUUUUAAUAACAAAAAUAAAAAUCUGGCAAGCA
RNAcentral lists this long non-coding RNA (1145 nucleotides) under Homo sapiens (human). RNAcentral describes it as "HSALNT0340898". The record is from RNAcentral. Lineage: Eukaryota; Metazoa; Chordata; Mammalia; Primates; Hominidae.